UUGAACCUGCCUCAUAAUUGGGAAUAGCCUUGCGAAAGUAAGAUUUAAUGCCCGGUGUUUUCAGAGUCCCGCAUGAGGCUUUGAACAAGAGAUUUAUCGGUAUGAGAUGGUGAUGCGUCCCAUUAGCUUGUUGGGCGGGGUAACGGCCCACCAAGGCAUCGAUGGGUAGGGGUUUGUGAGAGGAAGGUCCCCCACAUUGGAACUGAGACACGGUCCAAACUCCUACGGGAGGCAGCAGUGAGGAAUAUUGGUCAAUGGGCGGAAGCCUGAACCAGCCAAGUAGCGUGCAGGAAGACGGCCCUCCGGGUUGUAAACUGCUUUUAGUUGGGAAUAAAACGGGGGCUUCGUGAGCCCCCUUGCAUGUACCAUCAGAAAAAGGACCGGUCUUAAUUCCCGUGCCAGCCAGCCCGCGGUUAAUACGGAAGGUUCCGGGCGUAAUUCCGAAUUUAUUGGGUUUAAAGGGAGGCGCAGGCGAACCCUUUAAGUCAGCUGUGAAAUACGGCGGUUCAACCCGUCGAACUGCAGUUGAAUACUGGAGGUCUUGAGUGCACACAGGGAUGCUGGAAUUCAUGGUGUAGCGGUGAAAUGCUCAGAUAUCAUGAAGAACUCCGAUCGCGAAGGCAGGCAUCCGGGGUGCAACUGACGCUGAGGCUCGAAAGUGCGGGUAUCAAACAGGAUUAGAUACCCUGGUAGUCCGCACAGUAAACGAUGAAUACUCGCGGUUUGCGAUACAAUGUAAGCCGCCAAGCGAAAGCGUUAAGUAUUCCACCUGGGGAGUACGCGGCAACGGUGAAACUCAAAGGAAUUGACGGGGGCCCGCACAAGCGGAGGAACAUGUGGUUUUAUUGAUGAUACGCGAGGAACCUUACCCGGGCUUGAACUGCCCAGCGACGGAUGCAGAGACGCAUCUUUCUUCGGACGCUGGCGGAGGUGCUGCAUGGUUGUCGUCAGGUCGUGCCGUGAGGUGUCGGCUUAAGUGCCAUAACGAGCGCAACCCUCAUCCUCGUUUGCCAUCAGGUGAAGCUGGGCACUCCGGGGACACUGCCAUCGUAAGAUGUGAGGAAGGUGGGGAUGACGUCAAAUCAGCACGGCCCUUACGUCCGGGGCUACACACGUGUUACAAUGGGCGGUACAGAGGGCAGCCACUGCGCGAGCAGGAGCCAAUCCUCAAAGCCGUUCUCAGUUCGGACUGGAGUCUGCAACCCGACUCCACGAAGCUGGAUUCGCUAGUAAUCGCGCAUCAGCCAUGGCGCGGUGAAUACGUUCCCGGGCCUUGUACACACCGCCCGUCAAGCCAUGAAAGCCGGGAGCACUUGAAGGCCGUGACCGUCAAGGGUCGGUCUAGAGUGAU
Molecule: ribosomal RNA, 1351 nt
Filed under: uncultured bacterium
Lineage: Bacteria
Description: bacterial SSU rRNA
Rfam family: Bacterial small subunit ribosomal RNA
Source: RNAcentral